GACGAACGCUGGCGGCGUGCUUAACACAUGCAAGUCGAACGGAAAGGCCCUGCUUUUGUGGGGUGCUCGAGUGGCGAACGGGUGAGUAACACGUGAGUAACCUGCCCUUGACUUUGGGAUAACUUCAGGAAACUGGGGCUAAUACCGGAUAGGAGCUCCUGCUGCAUGGUGGGGGUUGGAAAGUUUCGGCGGUUGGGGAUGGACUCGCGGCUUAUCAGCUUGUUGGUGGGGUAGUGGCUUACCAAGGCUUUGACGGGUAGCCGGCCUGAGAGGGUGACCGGCCACAGUGGGACUGAGAUACGGCCCAGACUCCUACGGGAGGCAGCAGUGGGGAAUAGUGCACAAUGGGCGGAAGCCUGAUGCAGCAACGCCGCGUGCGGGAUGACGGCCUUAGGGUUGUAAACCGCUUUCGCCUGUGACGAAGCGUGAGUGACGGUAAUGGGUAAAGAAGAACCGGCUAACUAAGUG
RNAcentral lists this ribosomal RNA (468 nucleotides) under uncultured bacterium. RNAcentral's name for it is "partial 16S ribosomal RNA". It matches the Rfam family "Bacterial small subunit ribosomal RNA", at positions 28 to 507 of the family's 1533-position model. The record is from RNAcentral.